AGGGUUCGAUUAUGGCUCAGGAUGAACGCUGGCGGCGUGCUUAACACAUGCAAGUCGAACGGGAAACCUUUUAUUGAAGCUUCGGCAGAUUUAGAUUGUUUCUAGUGGCGGACGGGUGAGUAACGCGUGGGUAACCUGCCUUAUACAGGGGGAUAACAGUCAGAAAUGACUGCUAAUACCGCAUAAGCGCACAGAGCUGCAUGGCUCGGUGUGAAAAACUCCGGUGGUAUAAGAUGGACCCGCGUUGGAUUAGCUAGUUGGUGAGGUAACGGCCCACCAAGGCGACGAUCCAUAGCCGGCCUGAGAGGGUGAACGGCCACAUUGGGACUGAGACACGGCCCAG
Molecule: ribosomal RNA, 343 nt
Filed under: uncultured bacterium
Lineage: Bacteria
Description: bacterial SSU rRNA
Rfam family: Bacterial small subunit ribosomal RNA
Source: RNAcentral